CAGGGUAUGGAAUGAAGCUUUUAAAGGUUUCAUUGUGCCACCUGUUGGAAUUAAUUGACCUGGACCCGACCCAGGUCCGACCCACCCACAAAACUGAUCAAUAAUUGCACUUAGGUGGUUUUUGUGACAGUUAAGAAACUGUCACAAAAGACCUAUAAAACAAGGCAAUGUGAUUAGAAGUAUGUACGUGAAUUUGACGGUUCACAAAAUACAAUCCAGACGGCAGGGAAGAGUGCAAACAAGAAGAAAUUUAGAUUGCGAUUCAAGAAGAUUUUCCAAUCGGUGAUCAUCUUCGAACCGGUGAAAUAAACUCUACUCGAUCCGCUUUCGCAAUACUAUCCGAGUUAAACAUGCAAAUUGAAGGUGUAGCUAAAGAAACUCGGAGUUGGAAUGCUUGAGAUACGAAGAAACAAAAAGUUAGAAAUAAGCUAAUGUAAUAGCCUACAACCCAGUCGUAAGAUAUGGUGGUUUCACUCCUAAUUAGGACAAAAAGCGAAGACCAUAAGCUACAAUCCCAACAUAGCUUACAGUGAACUCAGAUAUAAGUUUUCACAACAUAGUACCACCGUAGGCUAUGGUCCCAAUGUUGCCUACAGCGGUAGAUACAUAAAUUUUGUUAAAACGUGAUUUUUUGGGUUUCUAGAGAUAUAUUUUCAUUCCUACUCAACUUGGAGGCUUCUUAAGCAAUUUUGGGAGCAUAGAUUAAAGCUUUUUAGAGAUUCCAACCCAUCCAGUCAUUAUUCCAUCAUCAACAACAAAAUCAAUCAUGCAAUCUACAUCAAUCUUUAAAGAUUCAAUCACAAGUAUGAGCGGCUAAUCUUUGGUGGUUUCCUUCCGGUGGAGGAUUAUUGUAAGUAGAUGAUUUGAUUUAGCUUUUUUUUCUGUAUUUGGAACACACGAUCUAAGCAUUUGACGUCUGUUGCUUAUUUGUUUGA
Long non-coding RNA from Helianthus annuus (common sunflower), 935 nucleotides. RefSeq lists it as uncharacterized. NCBI's taxonomy places the organism in Eukaryota, Viridiplantae, Streptophyta, Magnoliopsida, Asterales, Asteraceae. The transcript is spliced from 2 exons. The record is from RefSeq and is a predicted model, not a curated record.